UAGGGAAUCUUCCGCAAUGGACGCAAGUCUGACGGAGCAACGCCGCGUGAGUGAAGAAGGAUUUCGGUUCGUAAAACUCUGUUGUUAGAGAAGAACAGCGCAUAGAGUAACUGUUAUGCGUGUGACGGUAUCUAACCAGAAAGCCACGGCUAACUACGUGCCAGCAGCCGCGGUAAUACGUAGGUGGCAAGCGUUGUCCGGAUUUAUUGGGCGUAAAGCGAGCGCAGGCGGUCCAUUAAGUCUGAUGUGAAAGCCCCCGGCUCAACCGGGGAGGGUCAUUGGAAACUGGUUGACUUGAGUGCAGGAGAGGAGAGUGGAAUUCCAUGUGUAGCGGUGAAAUGCGUAGAUAUAUGGGGGAACACCAGUGGCGAAGGCGACUCUCUGGUCUGUAUCUGACGCUGGGGCUCGAAAGCGUGGGUAGCAAACAGG
This 429-nucleotide ribosomal RNA is filed under the name Bacteroidota bacterium. Its description in RNAcentral is "Bacteroidetes bacterium partial 16S ribosomal RNA". It matches the Rfam family "Bacterial small subunit ribosomal RNA", at positions 355 to 776 of the family's 1533-position model. Lineage: Bacteria; Pseudomonadati; Bacteroidota. The record is from RNAcentral.